Molecule: ribosomal RNA, 495 nt
Filed under: uncultured bacterium
Lineage: Bacteria
Description: bacterial SSU rRNA
Rfam family: Bacterial small subunit ribosomal RNA
Source: RNAcentral
GAUGAACGCCGGCGGCGUGCCUAACACAUGCAAGUCGAACGGAACUUCUUCGACAGAAUUCUUCGGAAGGAAGUUGAUUAAGUUUAGUGGCGGACGGGUGAGUAACGCGUGAGUAACCUGCCUUUGAGAGGGGAAUAACUUCCCGAAAGGGAUGCUAAUACCGCAUGAUGCAUAGAAGUCGCAUGGCUUUUAUGCCAAAGAUUUAUCGCUCAAAGAUGGACUCGCGUCCGAUUAGCCAGUUGGCGGGGUAACGGCCCACCAAAGCGACGAUCGGUAGCCGGACUGAGAGGUUGAACGGCCACAUUGGGACUGAGACACGGCCCAGACUCCUACGGGAGGCAGCAGUGGGGGAUAUUGCGCAAUGGGGGAAACCCUGACGCAGCAACGCCGCGUGAAGGAUGAAGGUUUUCGGAUUGUAAACUUCUGUUGUUGAGGAAGAUAAAUGACGGUACUCAACAAGGAAGUGACGGCUAACUACGUGCCAGCAGCCGCGGU